AACGCACAUUGCGCCCCUUGGUAUUCCGAGGGGCAUGCCUGUUCGAGCGUCAUUAUAACCCCUCAAGCCUAGCUUGGUGUUGGGGUCCGCGGUCCCGCGACCCUUAAAAUCAGUGGCGGUGCCAUCUGGCUCUUAGCGUAGUAACUAUCCUCGCUAUAGGGCCCGGCGGUUGUCUACCAGAACCCCCCAUUCCUAUGGUUGACCUCGGAUCAGGUAGGGAUACCCGCUGAACUUAA
This 236-nucleotide unclassified non-coding RNA is filed under the name uncultured fungus. Its description in RNAcentral is "sequence contains ITS2". The stretch from base 1 to 52 matches the Rfam family "5.8S ribosomal RNA", at positions 103 to 154 of the family's 154-position model. The record is from RNAcentral. Lineage: Eukaryota; Fungi.